UCCGAUAUAGUCCAGAGGUUAGGAUAUCUGGUUUUCAAGUGCUCUCGGAUUUGGAAAACCCAGAAGACCCGGGUUCAAUUCCCGGUAUCGGAA
Lojkania enalia is the source of this 93-nucleotide non-coding RNA. The record is from the annotation of a GenBank genome assembly. NCBI's taxonomy places the organism in Eukaryota, Fungi, Ascomycota, Dothideomycetes, Pleosporales.